UACUCUCACACUCUCUGAUCCUUUGGAUUCAGGGAGUGGUGGACUUGGGUGUUUGCCGCUUUCCUUGUGGCUCACCUCAAAUGCGUCAGUGCACCUCUUGGUUGGACAUAGUACGGCGUGAUAAGUAUCUUCGCCGGCACCUCGUGAGAGGGUGGCCGAUCGGGAGCUCUGUGCUUUCAAACUGUCUUCGGACAAUCUCUGACA
Molecule: unclassified non-coding RNA, 204 nt
Filed under: uncultured Sebacina
Lineage: Eukaryota; Fungi; Basidiomycota; Agaricomycetes; Sebacinales; Sebacinaceae
Description: sequence contains ITS2
Source: RNAcentral